This 253-nucleotide ribosomal RNA is filed under the name uncultured bacterium. RNAcentral describes it as "partial 16S ribosomal RNA". It matches the Rfam family "Bacterial small subunit ribosomal RNA", at positions 524 to 776 of the family's 1533-position model. The record is from RNAcentral.
UACGUAGGAGGCGAGCGUUGUCCGGAAUUACUGGGUGUAAAGAGCUCGUAGGCGGUUUGUCGCGUCUGUCGUGAAAGCUUGGGGCUUAACCCCAAGUCUGCGGUGGAUACGGGCAGACUAGAGGCAGGUAGGGGAGAACGGAAUUCCCGGUGUAGCGGUGAAAUGCGCAGAUAUCAGGAGGAACACCGAUGGCGAAGGCAGGUCUCUGGGCCACUACUGACGCUGAGAAGCGAAAGCAUGGGGAGCGAACAGG